AUCGUCGCUGCUGCUUGGGGUUGACUGCCGGGUUGUCGCCGAACUGGUUCGGAGACCGCCGUUGUUUCGGUUCAGCCGUUCCUUCGGUUCGAGUCGUUGUGGUUGCUGAGAAAACGGUUUGGAGCUGAGGUUUUGGUAGCUGGGAUUUUGAUUGUUGAUUUCGGGUCGAUGCGGAAAGGACUCGGUGACGCGUUUGAGUUAUGGAAUUUGCGCUUUGAGGAUAUGGGCGCAGAAGUUACGAAGAGCUUAUUUAAUUGUUGUUGUGAUGCUCUGUAU
Arachis ipaensis is the source of this 276-nucleotide non-coding RNA. Lineage: Eukaryota; Viridiplantae; Streptophyta; Magnoliopsida; Fabales; Fabaceae. The record is from RefSeq and is a predicted model, not a curated record.